Molecule: ribosomal RNA, 796 nt
Filed under: uncultured archaeon
Lineage: Archaea
Description: bacterial SSU rRNA
Rfam family: Archaeal small subunit ribosomal RNA
Source: RNAcentral
AAGGCUCAGUAACACGUCGGUAACCUACCCUCGGGAGGGGGAUAACCCCGGGAAACUGGGGCUAAUCCCCCAUAGGCCUGAGGUACUGGAAGGUCCUCAGGCCGAAAGGGGCUUUGCCCGCCCGAGGAUGGGCCGGCGGCCGAUUAGGUAGUUGGUGGGGUAACGGCCCACCAAGCCGAAGAUCGGUACGGGCCAUGAGAGUGGGAGCCCGGAGAUGGACACUGAGACACGGGUCCAGGCCCUACGGGGCGCAGCAGGCGCGAAACCUCCGCAAUGCGGGAAACCGCGACGGGGGGACCCCCAGUGCCGUGGCAUCGCCACGGCUUUUCCGGAGUGUAAAGAGCUCCGGGAAUAAGGGCUGGGCAAGGCCGGUGGCAGCCGCCGCGGUAAUACCGGCGGCCCGAGUGGUGGCCGCUAUUAUUGGGCCUAAAGCGUCCGUAGCCGGGCCCGUAAGUCCCUGGCGAAAUCCCACGGCUCAACCGUGGGGCUUGCUGGGGAUACUGCGGGCCUUGGGACCGGGAGAGGCGGAGGGUACUCCUGGGGUAGGGGUGAAAUCCUAUAAUCCCAGGAGGACCGCCAGUGGCGAAGGCGCUCCGCUGGAACGGGUCCGACGGUGAGGGACGAAGGCCAGGGGAGCGAACCGGAUUAGAUACCCGGGUAGUCCUGGCUGUAAAGGAUGCGGGCUAGGUGUCGGGCGAGCUUCGAGCUCGCCCGGUGCCGAAGGGAAGCCGUUAAGCCCGCCGCCUGGGGAGUACGGCCGCAAGGCUGAAACUUAAAGGAAUUGGCGGGGGAGCAC